UGGGGAAUAUUGCACAAUGGGGGAAACCCUGAUGCAGCGACGCCGCGUGAGCGAAGAAGGUUUUCGAAUCGUAAAGCUCUGUCCUAUGAGAAGAUAAUGACGGUAUCAUAGGAGGACGCCCCGGCUAAAUACGUGCCAGCAGCCGCGGUAAUACGUAUGGGGCGAGCGUUGACCGGAAUUAUUGGGCGUAAAGGGUACGUAGGCGGUCUAUUAAGUCAGGUGUGAAAGCGUGAGGCUUAACCUCAUUAAGCACUUGAAACUGAUAGACUUGAGUGAAGGAGAGGAAAGUGGAAUUCCUAGUGUAGCGGUGAAGUGCGUAGAUAUUAGGAGGAAUACCAGUAGCGAAGGCGACUUUCUGGACUUUUACUGACGCUCAGGUACGAAAGCGUGGGGAGCAAACAGG
This 403-nucleotide ribosomal RNA is filed under the name Verrucomicrobiota bacterium. Its description in RNAcentral is "Verrucomicrobia bacterium partial 16S ribosomal RNA". It matches the Rfam family "Bacterial small subunit ribosomal RNA", at positions 355 to 776 of the family's 1533-position model. The record is from RNAcentral. Lineage: Bacteria; Pseudomonadati; Verrucomicrobiota.